CCUACGGGAGGCAGCAGUGAGGAAUAUUGGUCAAUGGACGAGAGUCUGAACCAGCCAAGUAGCGUGAAGGAUGACUGCCCUAUGGGUUGUAAACUUCUUUUAUAUGGGAAUAAAACGUUCCACGUGUGGGAUUUUGUAUGUACCAUAUGAAUAAGGAUCGGCUAACUCCGUGCCAGCAGCCGCGGUAAUACGGAGGAUCCGAGCGUUAUCCGGAUUUAUUGGGUUUAAAGGGAGCGUAGUUGGAUGUUUAAGUCAGUUGUGAAAGUUUGCGGCUCAACCGUAAAAUUGCAGUUGAAACUGGCAGUCUUGAGUACAGUAGAGGUGGGCGGAAUUCGUGGUGUAGCGGUGAAAUGCUUAGAUAUCACGAAGAACUCCGAUUGCGAAGGCAGUUCACUGGACUGCAACUGACACUGAGGCUCGAAAGUGUGGGUAUCAAACAGGAUUAGAUACCCUUGUAGUC
RNAcentral lists this ribosomal RNA (460 nucleotides) under uncultured bacterium. RNAcentral's name for it is "partial 16S ribosomal RNA". It matches the Rfam family "Bacterial small subunit ribosomal RNA", at positions 338 to 795 of the family's 1533-position model. The record is from RNAcentral.